Molecule: ribosomal RNA, 818 nt
Filed under: Tremateia camporesii
Lineage: Eukaryota; Fungi; Ascomycota; Dothideomycetes; Pleosporales; Didymosphaeriaceae
Description: SSU rRNA
Rfam family: Eukaryotic small subunit ribosomal RNA
Source: RNAcentral
ACUAUAUACUGUGAAACUGCGAAUGGCUCAUUAAAUCAGUUAUCGUUUAUUUGAUAGUAACCUACUACAUGGAAUACCUGUGGAAAAUCUAGAGCUAAUACAUGCUAAASCCCCSACUUCGGAAGGGGUGUGUUUAUUAGAUAAAAAGCCAAKGCCCUUCGGGGCUCCUUGGUGAUUCAUGAUAACCUUUCUGAUCGCAAAUGGCCUCCGCGCCGGCGACGGUUCAUUCAAAUUUCUGCCCUAUCAACUUUCGAUGGUACGGUAGUGGCCUACCAUGGUGUCAACGGGUAACGGGGAAUUAGGGUUCGAUUCCGGAGAGGGAGCCUGAGAAACCGCUACCACAUCCAAGGAAGGCAGCAGGCGCGCAAAUUACACAAUGUCGACUCGACGAUGUAGUGACAAUAAAUACUGAUACAGGGCUCUUUUGGGUCUUGUAAUUGGAAUGAGUACAAUUUAAACCUCUUAACGAGGAACAAUUAGAGGGCAAGUCUGGUGCCAGCAGCCGCGGUAAUUCCAGCUCUAAUAGCGUAUAUUAAAGUUGUUGCAGUUAAAAAGCUCGUAGUUGAACCUUUGGCUUGGCGAGCGCGUCCGCCUCACCGCGUGCACGUGACCCGCCGAGCCUUUUCUUCUGGAGAACCGCAUGCCCUUCACUGGGUGUGUUGGGGACCAGGACUUUUACUUUGAAAAAAUUAGAGUGUUCAAAGCAGGCCUUUGCUCGAAUACGUUAGCAUGGAAUAAUGGAAUAGGACGUGCGGUCCUAUUUUGUUGGUUUCUAGGACCGCCGUAAUGAUUAAUAGGGACAGUCGGGGGCAUCAGUA